This 701-nucleotide long non-coding RNA is filed under the name Homo sapiens (human). Its description in RNAcentral is "non-protein coding lnc-CAMK1G-6:1". The record is from RNAcentral. Lineage: Eukaryota; Metazoa; Chordata; Mammalia; Primates; Hominidae.
CAACCUCUCUCACUGUCCCUCAACCACUUUCUCCUUUCCACUCUUCAAUCUCUCCCUUCUCUUAAUUUCAAUUCCUUUCAUUUUCUGGGAGAGACAAAGGAGACGCAUUUUAUUGUCACAUCCAGUCCUUUCCCUCAAAUUGGAGCACAAUCAGUUUGUAUUGUUAAACCCUUUUGUUUUUUUGGUGUUUUGUGACUCAGGCAGCAGAAGCCUCAGUGAGAUUGAUAGACACAAGGUGAGCUUGAGCCCAGGGUUGCUUCCAGGGGUCAUGACAGGGAUUAUGUGUAUGUGUGUCUACAUAUAUUUGUGCAUCUUCAUAUAUGUGUAUAUGUAUACAUAUGUGUAGGAGCUAAAUAUUUGAAAUCAUGUCUGUCCCUGGGUUAGCUCUACUUAGCCUUGAGUCCUGUGAGAGGGGAAGAUCAUGACACAUCCAGGGAUAUGAAAAGCCAGUGUAGCUAGAGCUCAGUGGGCAAGGAGGCAGUGCAAGAUACAUUGUCCACGAAUUUAUCAACUUCUGCUAGGUUUUUUUUUUGUUUUUUUUUUUUUUUUUGAGAUGGAGUCUGACUUUGUUGCCCAGGCUGGAGCUGGAGUGCAGUGCCGUGAUCUCAGCUCACUGCAAGCUGCGCCUCCCAGGUUCACGCCAUUCUCCUGCCUCAGCCUCCCGAGUAGCUGGGACUACACAGGCGCCCGCCACCAUGCCU